RNAcentral lists this long non-coding RNA (609 nucleotides) under Homo sapiens (human). Its description in RNAcentral is "HSALNT0250662". Lineage: Eukaryota; Metazoa; Chordata; Mammalia; Primates; Hominidae. The record is from RNAcentral.
CAGAUUUCCAAGAAUACAGCCAGCUACUCUGUCAGUGUCUUUGGUCCUUCAAGUCCUAGCUGCCUUGGAAGCCCUAAACUGCAUUUUUUUUUUCUUCUCAGUUUCUGAUAUUAUCAGACUCUGCUCAGCUCUUCUACCUUUUUGCUUCUACUUUCUACUUCGUUUUUCAGACUCUUGCUUUAUGUGAGUUUUCUGAAUCAGCAAAUGCUUUGAGGAAAGAAAUAGUGAAGACUACCAGGUUUUCCUCAAUGCAUUUUCCUUUUUGAGAGAAUCCUGGCACCUAACGUUUUGACUUCCUUGAUUGUUCUCAAAUGCCUUCGAAGAGAUGUGCUUUAUUCUAAGCAGGAUCAUAUAACCGAAAGGAAAUCACUUGGCUGAGCAGAGCCAUGGGUCUGCGUCCACUCUAUGGAUUGAUUCCAUAUCAGCUUCAGAGAUAUGAAAAUGACAUGAGCUGGGCCAGGCAUGGUGGCUCAUGCCUGCAAUCUCACCACUUUGGGAGGCCGAGGCUGGUGAAUCACGAGGUGAAGAGAUCGAGAUCAUCUUGGCCAUCAUGAUGAAACCCCAUCUCUACUAAAAAUACAAAAAUUGGCAGAGCAUGGUGACACACAC